AUUGAACGCUGGCGGCAUGCUUUACACAUGCAAGUCGAACGGCAGCGCGGGGCAACCUGGCGGCGAGUGGCGAACGGGUGAGUAAUAUAUCGGAACGUACCCAAGAGUGGGGGAUAACGUAGCGAAAGUUACGCUAAUACCGCAUACGAUCCAAGGAUGAAAGUGGGGGAUUCGCAAGAACCUCAUGCUCCUGGAGCGGCCGAUAUCUGAUUAGCUAGUUGGUAGGGUAAAGGCCUACCAAGGCUACGAUCAGUAGCUGGUCUGAGAGGACGACCAGCCACACUGGAACUGAGACACGGUCCAGACUCCUACGGGAGGCAGCAGUGGGGAAUUUUGGACAAUGGGCGCAAGCCUGAUCCAGCAAUGCCGCGUGAGUGAAGAAGGCCUUCGGGUUGUAAAGCUCUUUUGUCAGGGAAGAAACGGUGGGGGCUAAUGUCCUCCACUAAUGACGGUACCUGAAGAAUAAGCACCGGCUAACUACGUGCCAGCAGCCGCGGUAAUACGUAGGGUGCAAGCGUUAAUCGGAAUUACUGGGCGUAAAGCGUGCGCAGGCGGUUUUGUAAGUCUGUCGUGAAAGCCCCGGGCUCAACCCUGGGAAUUGCGAUGGAGACUGCAAGGGCUUGAAUCUGGCAGAGGGGGGUAGAAUUCCACGUGUAGCAGUGAAAUGCGUAGAGAUGUGGAGGAACACCGAUGGCGAAGGCAGCCCCCUGGGUCAAGAUUGACGCUCAUGCACGAAAGCGUGGGGAGCAAACAGGAUUAGAUACCCUGGUAGUCCACGCCCUAAACGAUGUCUACUAGUUGUCGGGUUUUAAUUAACUUGGUAACGCAGCUAACGCGUGAAGUAGACCGCCUGGGGAGUACGGUCGCAAGAUUAAAACUCAAAGGAAUUGACGGGGACCCGCACAAGCGGUGGAUGAUGUGGAUUAAUUCGAUGCAACGCGAAAAACCUUACCUACCCUUGACAUGUACGGAAGUCACGAGAGAUCGAGAUGUGCUCGAAAGAGAACCGUAACACAGGUGCUGCAUGGCUGUCGUCAGCUCGUGUCGUGAGAUGUUGGGUUAAGUCCCGCAACGAGCGCAACCCUUGUCAUUAGUUGCUACAUUUAGUUGAGCACUCUAAUGAGACUGCCGGUGACAAACCGGAGGAAGGUGGGGAUGACGUCAAGUCCUCAUGGCCCUUAUGGGUAGGGCUUCACACGUCAUACAAUGGUACAUACAGAGGGCCGCCAACCCGCGAGGGGGAGCUAAUCCCAGAAAGUGUAUCGUAGUCCGGAUCGCAGUCUGCAACUCGACUGCGUGAAGUUGGAAUCGCUAGUAAUCGCGGAUCAGCAUGUCGCGGUGAAUACGUUCCCGGGUCU
This 1358-nucleotide ribosomal RNA is filed under the name uncultured bacterium. RNAcentral describes it as "bacterial SSU rRNA". It matches the Rfam family "Bacterial small subunit ribosomal RNA", at positions 28 to 1381 of the family's 1533-position model. The record is from RNAcentral.